AUACGGAGGGUGCAAGCGUUACUCGGAAUCACUGGGCGUAAAGCGCGCGCAGGCGGCUAUUUAAGUUGGAUGUGAAAGCCUACGGCUCAACCGUAGAACUGCAUCCAAAACUAUUUAGCUAGAGUGUGGGAGAGGAAGAUGGAAUUAGUUGUGUAGGGGUAAAAUCCGUAGAGAUAACUAGGAAUACCAAAAGCGAAGGCAAUCUUCUGGAACACUACUGACGCUGAGGCGCGAAAGCGUGGGGAGCAAACAGGAGUAGAAACCCUAGUAGUCC
This 274-nucleotide ribosomal RNA is filed under the name uncultured bacterium. RNAcentral's name for it is "partial 16S ribosomal RNA". It matches the Rfam family "Bacterial small subunit ribosomal RNA", at positions 523 to 796 of the family's 1533-position model. The record is from RNAcentral.